This 67-nucleotide transfer RNA is filed under the name Tonatia saurophila (stripe-headed round-eared bat). RNAcentral's name for it is "transfer RNA-Tyr". It matches the Rfam family "tRNA". Rfam says of the family: Transfer RNA (tRNA) molecules are approximately 80 nucleotides in length. Their secondary structure includes four short double-helical elements and three loops (D, anti-codon, and T loops). The record is from RNAcentral. Lineage: Eukaryota; Metazoa; Chordata; Mammalia; Chiroptera; Phyllostomidae.
GGUAAUAUGGCCGAGAUAGGCAUUAGACUGUAAAUCUAAGGACAGGGGUUAGAUUCCUCUUAUUGCC